GAUGGUGUAUUUUAAAAAAAUUAUUACUCUGCAAAGGUAAAGUUGCUCUUAAUUGAGUCACCAUUU
This 66-nucleotide transfer RNA is filed under the name Balanus trigonus. RNAcentral's name for it is "tRNA-Cys". Lineage: Eukaryota; Metazoa; Arthropoda; Thecostraca; Balanomorpha; Balanidae. The record is from RNAcentral.